This 447-nucleotide ribosomal RNA is filed under the name uncultured bacterium. Its description in RNAcentral is "bacterial SSU rRNA". It matches the Rfam family "Bacterial small subunit ribosomal RNA", at positions 355 to 825 of the family's 1533-position model. The record is from RNAcentral.
UGGGGAAUAUUGGACAAUGGGCGAAAGCCUGAUCCAGCCAUGCCGCGUGAGUGACGAAGGCCUUAGGGUUGUAAAACCCUUUCGUCGGGGACGAUAAUGACGGUACCCGAAGAAGAAGCUCCGGCUAACUUCGUGCCAGCAGCCGCGGUAAUACGAAGGGAGCUAGCGUUGUUCGGAAUCACUGGGCGUAAAGCGCACGUAGGCGGAUAGUUAAGUCAGGGGUGAAAUCCUGGGGCUCAACCCCAGAACUGCCUUUGAUACUGGCUGUCUCGAGGUCGAGAGAGGUUGGUGGAAUUCCUAGUGUAGAGGUGAAAUUCGUAGAUAUUAGGAAGAACACCAGUGGCGAAGGCGGCCAACUGGCUCGAUACUGACGCUGAGGUGCGAAAGCGUGGGGAGCAAACAGGAUUAGAUACCCAUGUAGUCCCUGAGCGGGCUGGCAAGGCGCAU